RNAcentral lists this ribosomal RNA (507 nucleotides) under Cervidellus vexilliger. RNAcentral describes it as "SSU rRNA". It matches the Rfam family "Eukaryotic small subunit ribosomal RNA", at positions 88 to 590 of the family's 1831-position model. Lineage: Eukaryota; Metazoa; Nematoda; Chromadorea; Rhabditida; Cephalobidae. The record is from RNAcentral.
CGCGAAUGGCUCAUUACAACAGCUAUAAUUUACUUGAUCUUGACACAAUCCUACUUGGAUAACUGUGGUAAUUCUAGAGCUAAUACAUGCAUUAAAGCUCUGACCGUAAGGAAAGAGUGCAUUUAUUAGAACAAAACCAAGCGGCCUUCGGGCUGUUUUCGGUUGACUCAUAGUAACUGAGCUGAUCGCAUGGGCUUGUCCCGGCGACGUGUCUUUCAUGUAUCUGCCGUAUCAUCUUUCGAUGGUAGUGUAAUUGACUACCAUGGUGAUCACGCGUAACGGAGAAUAAGGGUUCGACUCCGGAGAGUUCGCCUGAGGAAUCGCGAACACAUCUAAGGAAGGCAGCAGGCGCGAAAAUUACCCACUCUCAGCACGAGGAGGUAGUGACGAAAAAUAACGAGACUGUUCUCUUAUGAGGCCAGUCAUCGGAAUGGGUACAAUUUAAACCCUUUAACGAGUAUCUAUGAGAGGGCAAGUCUGGUGCCAGCAGCCGCGGUAAUUCCAGCU